RNAcentral lists this transfer RNA (74 nucleotides) under Taeniopygia guttata (zebra finch). RNAcentral describes it as "tRNA-Lys (CTT) (tRNA-Lys-CTT-4-1)". It matches the Rfam family "tRNA". From Rfam's summary of the family: Transfer RNA (tRNA) molecules are approximately 80 nucleotides in length. Lineage: Eukaryota; Metazoa; Chordata; Aves; Passeriformes; Estrildidae. The record is from RNAcentral.
ACCCAGCUAAGGUCAGUCGGUAGAGCAUGAGACUCUUAAUCUCAGGGUCAUGGGUUCAGGCCCCAUAUUGGGUG